Molecule: long non-coding RNA, 1899 nt
Organism: Homo sapiens (human)
Lineage: Eukaryota; Metazoa; Chordata; Mammalia; Primates; Hominidae
Product: long intergenic non-protein coding RNA 1102
Source: Ensembl
AUCUCCUAAAGCAGUCAUUCUGAAACCCAAUCUGGGGACAGUGCAGACUAAAUAAAAUUUCAUUUUGAUUUGGCCUCCCGCUGCGAAUGGGACUGCUUUGUCUCAGCCGACAGAACCAGCAAGCCAGAAAGGGAAUGAAGACAUUUGGAGAAGAAGCGUUUACUGAAAGGAGAUUCCUGGGCUGGAGGAAAACCAUGAUCUACAGUUCAUGUUGACAGAUAUUGUAUUUUUGGUCCUAGAUCUGACUUUUGAAAUGACUUAUCACAAAUUCAAAUUUAGCAAUCAUGAGUGAAGUACCCACGAUGUGCUAAGCAUCUACCUCUGCAGAUAGAAGAACACUUACUGUUCCUGAGCAUGGGAGGGAAUAGAAGUUCCUGGGUCCUGGCCUCACCUCAUCAGGCACUGCCAAAUUUGACACCUCCUUCCUGUUCACGGCAGUCCUUUGCGAUAGGGUAUUAGAUGCCACCAAGUAGCUGCAUAACUCACCCAUUUGGUCAGAGCCUGGGUCUAAGCCAGGUCUGACAGACUCCAAAGCAAGCCCUGUUUACAGCAUGACUGGGAUCCAGUGGACGAGGGAACUGAGCUGUCAAAACUAAGUGACUUGAUUGAGGCCAUGCAGCUGGCGAGGGGAGGACCAGGAUCUGAACCCAACUGGGUCUCCCAAGCCUGGGCCACUGAACCAUUUCACCUCUUGGAAAAACUUAAUGGUCAGAGUGGCCCACCCAGUCCAUGGACAGCAUGGAGCCCUCUGACCAAGAAUCUGCGGAGGUCAUCCCUCACCUCCAGAGUUGGUCUUGUCCCUAGCACCCACGUGUGCUCUGUGGCUCAGAAUGGUCUACAGGAUCUUCCAAAUCCAAGCACAGGUGGUAUGGUGGAAGAGGAGGGAAGAAAACCUGUGUAUUGUAAGUCAUAUUCUUCUAUGGUGUGAAGGUUAACGUAAGUUUUAAGAAAGUUUUUUUUUUUAAUUUUAUUAUAUGAUCUUGCUCUAAAGGGAUGUAAAUUCAGAUGCUGAAUUGCACACAUCCUUUCUCUUUCAUAUUUUCAAUAUUGAACGUAAUUUCAAUAUUUAACAUAAAACAAUGAGUACAUUGUCUCCACCUCAUUGUUUUUGGGUGGUGUUUGUGAGGAGCCUGCGUUCUUUGGAAGGAAGACCUUUCAGAUGACCUGACCAGUCCUCCUCUUCAGAACCCGGAUGCUGGCGAAGCAGUUUGAAUUUUAUGCUUGUGAAAGGGCUCCGUUGAUGAUUUUGAUGUCUGCAGCUUUCCACCCGUAUGACCAGACACAUUCUCACCAGCUCCAUAUAUCAAGAUAAGGAGGGGAAACCUGGUAGCUUUUCCUUCUGUUAACUGCUGGCAUCAGCUGAGUGAUGCAGACAUUUCUCUAUUAAGAACUGAGCUGAGACUGAAGCUUCAUUUUGUAUGAGACUGUGCAGAGGUCGUCUAAAGUCUCUCCCAGGUGUGGUUAUUAAGAUCCUGGAUUUGAAACUGUGACCUACUGGUUUGCCAGAUGCCAAGAACAAAUGCUCUGAAAUUGAUUUGCCAAAAGACAUGAUGAGCUGCUCUAACUUGCCUGGGAAGAGUGGAAUAUUUAACCUGUGGGUGAGACUCCCUCUUGCUACCUAUCAGCUUUGCCACUGCUCUGAUAGAGAAACAUCUUGGGAGCAGAGUUGGUAAGAGUGAAUCAGACGUAUCUGCCGGAAUAGGACUCGUGGCACCUGCUUGUUCGAUCCCUCAUUUCCACCCCCUCUAUCCUUUGCCUAUUGUCAGUCAUUGUGGUUGGUCCAUUCAGAAGAAUCGUGAAUAUUCAUAGCCACCCUAAUUUACCAAUAUAUAUUCAAUAAUGUCAGAGAUCUGUACAUGUGAUUCCUGAGCUUAUUACAGUAACAAGUUUCUCCAAUGC